This 473-nucleotide long non-coding RNA is filed under the name Callithrix jacchus (white-tufted-ear marmoset). Its description in RNAcentral is "lncRNA (ENSCJAG00000080078.1)". Lineage: Eukaryota; Metazoa; Chordata; Mammalia; Primates; Cebidae. The record is from RNAcentral.
AUAAGCUUAUGAGCACAGCGUCUGCCAGGUACUGAGCUACGACUUAGUGGCACUGCUUUAGGCAACCUCUGUGCAUACAGACAUCUGCUUGCAAGAAAAGACAGGAAACCCAGAAACCCUUUCAAAUGAAAAUGUAAAAAGCUGAUAGACAUUGAAGUUAUUCCAAGAGGAAGCUGCUUUUCAAAGAAGACUCUAGAUCCGUGCUGAAGAAAGAUGUGCUGUAGAAUUUGGACAUCAGCAAGGUAUCUCUUUCUGUGGCAUUGGUGAGGGAUGCAGGGAAAGAAGAAGGAAGGAGGUCCCACAAUAGGCCAUCUGCAAGCUGAGGAGCAAGGAAGCCAGUCUGAGUCCUAAAACUGAAGAACUUGGGGUCCACGAUUCAAGGGCAGGAAGCAGCCAGCACAGAAGAAAGAUGCAGGCUGGGAGGUAGGCCAAUCUAGUCUUUUCAUGUUUUUUCUGCCUGCUUUAGAUCGUGG